UAAGCGUACACGGUGGAUGCCCUGGCAGUCAGAGGCGAUGAAGGGCGUGCUAAUCUGCGAUAAGCGCCGGUAAGGUGAUAUGAACCGUUAUAACCGGCGAUACCCGAAUGGGGAAACCCAGUGUGACUCGUCACACUAUCAUUAACUGAAUCCAUAGGUUAAUGAGGCGAACCGGGGGAACUGAAACAUCUAAGUACCCCGAGGAAAAGAAAUCAACCGAGAUUCCCCCAGUAGCGGCGAGCGAACGGGGAGGAGCCCAGAGCCUGAAUCAGCAUGUGUGUUAGUGGAAGCGUCUGGAAAGGCGCGCGAUACAGGGUGACAGCCCCGUACACAAAAGCGCAUGUGCUGUGAGCUCGAUGAGUAGGGCGGGACACGUGGUAUCCUGUCUGAAUAUGGGGGGACCAUCCUCCAAGGCUAAAUACUCCUGACUGACCGAUAGUGAACCAGUACCGUGAGGGAAAGGCGAAAAGAACCCCGGCGAGGGGAGUGAAAAAGAACCUGAAACCGU
This 508-nucleotide ribosomal RNA is filed under the name Salmonella enterica. Its description in RNAcentral is "partial 23S ribosomal RNA". It matches the Rfam family "Bacterial large subunit ribosomal RNA", at positions 12 to 559 of the family's 2925-position model. RNAcentral also lists the same sequence under 2 other names. The record is from RNAcentral. Lineage: Bacteria; Pseudomonadati; Pseudomonadota; Gammaproteobacteria; Enterobacterales; Enterobacteriaceae.